This 266-nucleotide long non-coding RNA is filed under the name Elaeis guineensis (African oil palm). Its description in RNAcentral is "long non-coding RNA (EGUI_LNC010211)". The record is from RNAcentral. Lineage: Eukaryota; Viridiplantae; Streptophyta; Magnoliopsida; Arecales; Arecaceae.
UCUAUAUGGAUUCUAGUACCCACUAAGAAAUUAAAGUAAUUCCUCAAGUUGGAGAUAGAGGCUACAAAUUUGUACAAAAUAGUGAGAGAACCUUUAGACUAAAAUUCAUAUCUUUAGGCUUAAUUAAUUCAUAAACUGAUUAGAUUUUAUUUUUUUUUUUAUACAGAUAUGGCCUCAAAGUUGUCACUCCAAUCACUGUGAUAGUGAGAAAUUGAUGGGACCCAAUUUUGAUAACUGAUAUCGAAAACUUAAAAUCAUCCUGGAGC